GGCUCCAUAAGCUCAGAGGUUAGAGCACUGGUCUUGUAAAACCAGGGGUCCGCGAGUUCAAUUCUCGCUGGGGCCU
Molecule: transfer RNA, 76 nt
Filed under: Astyanax mexicanus (Mexican tetra)
Lineage: Eukaryota; Metazoa; Chordata; Actinopteri; Characiformes; Acestrorhamphidae
Rfam family: tRNA
About the family: Transfer RNA (tRNA) molecules are approximately 80 nucleotides in length. Their secondary structure includes four short double-helical elements and three loops (D, anti-codon, and T loops). Further hydrogen bonds mediate the characteristic L-shaped molecular structure. tRNAs have two regions of fundamental functional importance: the anti-codon, which is responsible for specific mRNA codon recognition, and the 3' end, to which the tRNAs corresponding amino acid is attached (by aminoacyl-tRNA synthetases). tRNAs cope with the degeneracy of the genetic code in two manners: having more than one tRNA (with a specific anti-codon) for a particular amino acid; and 'wobble' base-pairing, i.e. permitting non-standard base-pairing at the 3rd anti-codon position.
Source: Rfam by way of RNAcentral